CGGGUGAGUAAUACAUCGGAACGUGUCUUCUAGUGGGGGAUAACUGCCCGAAAGGGCAGCUAAUACCGCAUGAGACCUGAGGGUGAAAGCGGGGGAUCGCAAGACCUCGCGCUGGAAGAGCGGCCGAUGUCCGAUUAGCUAGUUGGUGAGGUAAAGGCUCACCAAGGCGACGAUCGGUAGCUGGCUGAGAGGACGACCAGCCACACUGGGACUGAGACACGGCCCAG
This 227-nucleotide ribosomal RNA is filed under the name uncultured bacterium. Its description in RNAcentral is "partial 16S ribosomal RNA". It matches the Rfam family "Bacterial small subunit ribosomal RNA", at positions 103 to 334 of the family's 1533-position model. The record is from RNAcentral.